UGGGGAAUAUUGGACAAUGGGGGGAACCCUGAUCCAGCCAUGCCGCGUGUGUGAAGAAGGCCUUAUGGUUGUAAAGCACUUUAAGCGAGGAGGAGGCUCUUUUGGUUAAUACCCAAGAUGAGUGGACGUUACUCGCAGAAUAAGCACCGGCUAACUCUGUGCCAGCAGCCGCGGUAAUACAGAGGGUGCAAGCGUUAAUCGGAUUUACUGGGCGUAAAGCGCGCGUAGGCGGCCAAUUAAGUCAAAUGUGAAAUCCCCGAGCUUAACUUGGGAAUUGCAUUCGAUACUGGUUGGCUAGAGUGUGGGAGAGGAUGGUAGAAUUCCAGGUGUAGCGGUGAAAUGCGUAGAGAUCUGGAGGAAUACCGAUGGCGAAGGCAGCCAUCUGGCCUAACACUGACGCUGAGGUGCGAAAGCAUGGGGAGCAAACA
This 428-nucleotide ribosomal RNA is filed under the name uncultured Acinetobacter sp. Its description in RNAcentral is "bacterial SSU rRNA". It matches the Rfam family "Bacterial small subunit ribosomal RNA", at positions 355 to 774 of the family's 1533-position model. Lineage: Bacteria; Pseudomonadati; Pseudomonadota; Gammaproteobacteria; Moraxellales; Moraxellaceae. The record is from RNAcentral.